AGGCGUGUAGCUCCAAUGGUAGAGCACCGGAUUCCAAAUCCGGGUGCUGGGGGUUCGAAUCCCUCCACGCCUGCCA
RNAcentral lists this transfer RNA (76 nucleotides) under Sulfurimonas gotlandica GD1. Its description in RNAcentral is "tRNA-Trp (CCA) (tRNA-Trp-CCA-1-1)". It matches the Rfam family "tRNA". Rfam says of the family: Transfer RNA (tRNA) molecules are approximately 80 nucleotides in length. Their secondary structure includes four short double-helical elements and three loops (D, anti-codon, and T loops). Further hydrogen bonds mediate the characteristic L-shaped molecular structure. tRNAs have two regions of fundamental functional importance: the anti-codon, which is responsible for specific mRNA codon recognition, and the 3' end, to which the tRNAs corresponding amino acid is attached (by aminoacyl-tRNA synthetases). tRNAs cope with the degeneracy of the genetic code in two manners: having more than one tRNA (with a specific anti-codon) for a particular amino acid; and 'wobble' base-pairing, i.e. permitting non-standard base-pairing at the 3rd anti-codon position. Lineage: Bacteria; Pseudomonadati; Campylobacterota; Epsilonproteobacteria; Campylobacterales; Sulfurimonadaceae. The record is from RNAcentral.